This is a long non-coding RNA of Oxyura jamaicensis (ruddy duck), 3464 nucleotides long. RefSeq lists it as uncharacterized. The transcript has 2 exons. The record is from RefSeq and is a predicted model, not a curated record. NCBI's taxonomy places the organism in Eukaryota, Metazoa, Chordata, Aves, Anseriformes, Anatidae.
UAAAAAUGACAGAGAUCAGUGUUUAUAGUUAGGUCUUUGGUCUGGAAACCUGAUGGUUGUAACUCAGUAGUUCAAGUUUUAGCUAAGACUUCUGCUCAUGUCUUCCAAACUUAGGUUGCUCAGGGGUUUAUUUCACUCCUGGUCCUGCAGUUGCUGGCAUCUUAGCAGGCACUCGAGCAAUGCGCUCUUGGCCAUCUAAGAAAGUACUUGUGACCUUAUCCUUGACAGGAGGACUGUGCAAGGGCUGCUGCUAAUCAAUUUUGUCAGCAGUCACUUGAAAUACUGAUCAAUGACUUGAUUUUUGUCUAGAGGUCUACCAGUAAUGACAUUCGGCCUGCCUGCCACUCUUGCCUGUCCUCAGCUGUGCUGUACCACGUGUAUUUUGAAUAACAGUUCUGCUCGGUCACUCAGGGAUCUGACAACAGUACACUUUGUCAUUGCUUACAGCAGGAAGCCUGCAUCUGAAGUGGGAAAUCAGAUAAAAUUGUCUGCAAGGAUAGAUGAGAUGGCGAGUGCAGUCUUUACUGCUACUUCUUUGUUUUGUUUCUGGUUGAGCAUUUUUGUUCAGCCACUGAAAUAGCAAGUCUCAUGCAGCUGAGACCUAGCAGGUUCUCUAGCCUUUUGAACUGCCACCAAGAAAUGAUUAAUUGGUGGAGGUCAUGGCUGAAGGUGACAAAUGCCUUGUGAUGGACAAAAGAAAGCAUGUGAACUGACCUAGUUUCAGCUCUGGCAGUGGGAGAUAAUUCUGCAUGGUCCUUGGUCAUUAGACCUAACUCUAGAAAAUGAAGUUACCUAUUCUGCCACCAUCACUAAUGAGCGUGGCUGUUGUCCAGCAUUCAGAAAAGAGAAUUAGAAGACAAGUCAGCUUUGGAACUCAGCUUCUCAUUGUGUACAGGGGACACCAAGUCUCAUCUCAUAAGGAUGAGACUUAGAUUAUGAGCUCUUUAAAACUUAGAGAGUCAGGUGAAAUGUGAUAAGACGUUGAUAUUUUUCAUAAUUCAUUAAAUGACAGAAGCUUUAGCUUAUGCUCACGUACCCUAAAGUAUCAUCAAGAAGAUAUGCAACAAAUCAUGAAAUCAGCCCACUGAAUCAGUUUGAGAUUGCAAUAAAAUAGUCUUACUUGAAUUCUUGUGAAAGCACUGUCCUUGGUGGUGUGUCAGCUUUGUUAGCAGGAAAUUCAGAUGCUGAUGCCUCUCCUCAAUGAUAAAUACUUGGAAGAUGUGGAUGUCUUAGGUGAUAAUCACAGCACAAAUAGUUGAGAGUGGAUCAAGUUUUGUGUACAAGUAUUUGGUGGAAUAUGGAAACUAAAAAUUCACUGUACAAAGUCUUGCUAUAACCAAGAUGUGCAUGUGAUUUUCUUCAAGUGCAAUUGGUACAGAGCUCUUAAGCGUAGGUCUGUUUCAGAAGUUCUUGUAGGAGUGUGUGUAUGUACACACACGUACCUAAACUGAAUCAUGCGUGUAUGUGCAUACAGAAAAAAGGCACAGUUACAUCUGAUCAGAGUAAAUGAAGAGAAAGUAAUAAAAGCACAUCCCAAAAGGUGAAAUUAUUCUACUCUUUCACUCUGCACCAGGAAGUGGCUGCUAAUGAGACUCAGUCCUUUUGAUGUUACCGGUUUUACAGCUGCAAAAGCCUUUGGUCUUGAUGGCUGUUUAAUUCAAAAAUAUGAGACAAAAGUACUUGAGGACACCUUGAAACAAUUAUUAAAUAAAACAUUUCACCUGUGCUUAAUGUAAUUGUUAGAUCUAUUAUCUUUCCUAAGUAGCUUAAGUCAAGUUCAGGCUAUUUUGAUUCAAUUUGAGAUGGGAUGAAAUUAAACCUCUUAAAUAGCGAGAAAGUUUUUCUCUAUUCCUUAUGAAUUAGUGAUUAUUGCCAUGUCCCUGAACCUGCCUUUCCUUUGCAGAUCCUGAGGUUUUGCAGGCUUCUACCAGUUCCACAAAUAACUUUGUGAAAGGUUCCUCCAAGACCAGCCACAGCUCCUGUGUCUUCACUUCCUUAUGGGAAAGGACAAGGGCAUACCUUGCUUUUUGUGGCCUUUUCUGUCGGAUGAGGUUCUUGAGCUGAUAAUGCAGGAAAUUUUCAGAUGUUCGGAAACCAGGUCACCCAGCAGUUUCAAGUGGACAUUUGUACACUUCUGCAAGAGAAAAUACAUCUCUUGAGCUGACAUACUUCAGAGAAGUUCUCAGAUCACAACUAGUGGAGCAGAUGAACUGAGAAGAGGCACUUUCAGUGAUGUGUGCAGUAGAUUCAGCAGAUCCAGCCUCCUAUUUCCUAUUCUUCCAAUAUCAUCUGUUACUGACGAGGGCAUUUUGUAUAUUGUCCUUACACAAUUGGCAGAGGUCAAAGUAAAGUGAAAUGAAUUGCAUGAAUGGUGCAAACUGUAAUGCAAAUUCUGAUAAGUAAUUCUUUUUGGAUGAUGUUUUGACAUGUUUUUUGAAGGUUACAAUUGUACUAGCUUCUACUCUGUUCAUACCACAAGGUAACAGACCGUGAAUCUGAGUAGACGAGAUACAGUGAGAAGUGUACAAAAACUUAACUUUUUUUGUAUGGCCAACUAUGAAAAUUAUUAUUAUUUUUUUUUUUUUUAAAAAAAAAGGCUGAUACCAUAGCUGAGCCAUCUCUCUGUAAACCAAUCAGAAAAUCAAACUCUGACAAAAAGCCUGUGAGAAAUUCUUUAAAUCCCUUCCCCUUUUAUCUCUGCUUCUUUGCCUGGAAACUGAUUAAUGCCUAUUGGAGUUGAAAUUCUGCUGUUCUGUCAGCUAGUCAGCAUCUGAAGGGAGAGGUGAGUUUUCAGAACUUCUGUUUUUUUUGUUGUGUAUUAAUAAAAAGACCAUCAUUUUUAUUUAUUUAGAAUUUUGCAGUGCGCCAUGCACAUCCCUCUUUGUAAUAUGUCUAAGUUUAUUGGGGGAUCGGAGGUAAGUGUUUUUCUGUGAUGAUUAAAUAUCCCAAGUAUGGGCAGAUCCUCAGCUAACAAAUCAAUGCGCAGGUAGUUCUCAAGAGGUUAGAACAAAUGGUCCAAUGCUAAUCUUGCUAAAACGUGUAAGUCUUAGUUCUGGUAACACUUGGAGACAGUAGCUAUUAAAAUUGACCUGCAGUCCCCAUUUGACAAAAAAGGUGCCAGAUUUUCUCAAAGACCCUGUCUAUGUAAGGAUUUCCACCCAAAGGAUUAGGAUCAGAUCACAUUUUUAAUAGCUGUGUGAAGAGCUGUGCAGGAACUUGAGGCUGGAAUUUGUAGGAGCCAGAAGGUUAUCAAAAAAGGUGUAUGUGAUUUCAAUGCUUUUCCUGUCUUGGUGUUCGAUAGAUGUACUGGGACCUGGGGGAAGAAGAGGAGGGUUUGAAUUUUUUUGAAGGUUUUGAAAGAUUAUGCCUCUGUUAUUUGUUGACUGGUGUAGCUCAUCAAAGCUCUUAGUUGUUUGCAGAAUGUUCCACAAAUCAAAGUCUGUUUUUGCCUUUGAUUAAAAAAA